Molecule: ribosomal RNA, 468 nt
Filed under: uncultured bacterium
Lineage: Bacteria
Description: bacterial SSU rRNA
Rfam family: Bacterial small subunit ribosomal RNA
Source: RNAcentral
CUCUGUGACUCCUACGGGAGGCAGCAGUGAGGAAUAUUGGUCAAUGGAGGGAACUCUGAACCAGCCAUCCCGCGUGUAGGAAGACGGCCUUAUGGGUUGUAAACUACUUUUAUACAGGAAGAAACGUACCCUCGUGAGGGUGCCUGACGGUACUGUAGGAAUAAGCACCGGCUAACUCCGUGCCAGCAGCCGCGGUAAUACGGAGGGUGCGAGCGUUAUCCGGAUUUAUUGGGUUUAAAGGGUCCGUAGGCGGAUUAAUAAGUCAGUGGUGAAAUCCCAUCGCUUAACGAUGGAACUGCCAUUGAUACUGUUAGUCUUGAAUGAGGGUGCAGUGGUUGGAAUGUGUAGUGUAGCGGUGAAAUGCAUAGAUAUUACACAGAACACCGAUUGCGAAGGCAGAUCACUAACCCUAAAUUGACGCUGAGGGACGAAAGCGUGGGGAGCGAACAGGAUUAGAUACCCUGGUAG